Molecule: ribosomal RNA, 498 nt
Filed under: uncultured bacterium
Lineage: Bacteria
Description: partial 16S ribosomal RNA
Rfam family: Bacterial small subunit ribosomal RNA
Source: RNAcentral
AUUGAACGCUGGCGGAAUGCUUUACACAUGCAAGUCGAUCGGCAGCGCGGGGCAACCUGGCGGCGAGCGGCGAACGGGUGAGUAAUGCAUCGGAACAUGUCCAUGGAUGGGGGAUAGCCCGGCGAAAGCCGGAUUAAUACCGCAUGAGCCCGAGAGGGGAAAGUGGGGGACCGCAAGGCCUCACGUCGAUGGGUUGGCCGGUGCCCGAUUAGCUAGUUGGUGAGGUAAUGGCUCACCAAGGCGAUGAUCGGUAGCUGGUCUGAGAGGAUGAUCAGCCACACUGGGACUGGGACACGGCCCAGACUCCUACGGGAGGCAGCAGUGGGGAAUUUUGGACAAUGGGGGCAACCCUGAUCCAGCCAUUCCGCGUGAGUGAAGAAGGCCUUCGGGUUGUAAAGCUCUUUUGUCCGGAGCGAAACGGGGCGCGUGAAUAUCGCGCUCUACUGACGGUACCGGAAGAAUAAGCACCGGCUAACUACGUGCCAGCCGCCGCAGUAA